GCUGCCGAUGGCCCUGGCAUGAAGGAGGCUCAGAAAACUGCCAGGCUCUGCACUUUGUGAAUGACACGGGGACAAAGAGACUCGAUGGGCAGCAUCCCCCACGUGCACUGCCUCGCACCAGCUGGUAAUGAGGCUGCGUCUUUUCUUCUAGCCUAAACCACAGCACUUCUCUGCAGUGCUGCAAAAAUCCUGGAGACCUGAAAUUGCCUGAGAUGCUGCUGCAGAAAUCAUAAUCCUGCUCCCCGUGCCACCAGGAGCCUGCUCACACCGAGCCUCUUCAGAGAACGAAACCCACAGCAAUGUGCGGUGCCAGCUGCAGCCGCCCUCUGUACCCACAAGCAGCCUUUCUGUACAGGGCAAUUACAAAACACACAAGAUCAUGGCAAAGCUCCUGGAAAUUAAACUAUUCUUCACGCGUAAUGAACUGUGCGCGUCCCACACAGCAAUAAAGAUAUCAAAAGUAGUGCUAACAACUAAUGUGUGCCAUAAAUACCAACUCAUAUUCAGGGUAUAUUCGCAUGGCCAUUACAACUAAAAUAUAAAUGGAGUUUUUAUUUUAAACAUUUAAUAUUAAUCAAAUGGUUAUGAAAAUACAUAACAAACAACUGUGACACGCUCAUGGCCUAAAUAAUAAAAAUGAAAUGGGUGAUGAAUUCCUGUGAAAAUUUAAUUUGCAAAAUAAAGAACAUUGCAUUAAUAAGACAUAAUUAUAUCAUCAAAUAUUUACCAUUAUUUUCUGGAAUCCGUUUUA
Molecule: long non-coding RNA, 751 nt
Organism: Oxyura jamaicensis (ruddy duck)
Lineage: Eukaryota; Metazoa; Chordata; Aves; Anseriformes; Anatidae
Exons: 3
Source: RefSeq, a predicted model, not a curated record